Molecule: long non-coding RNA, 825 nt
Filed under: Pogona vitticeps (central bearded dragon)
Lineage: Eukaryota; Metazoa; Chordata; Lepidosauria; Squamata; Agamidae
Description: lncRNA (ENSPVIG00000025620.1)
Source: RNAcentral
GAAACAGACAAUAUGUCAGACAUCAUCAGCACAGACCAAAGCAAAGGGCAUGAAGCUCACAGUUGCUAGAACAGUGGAAGUUUUAGUCUAAGAUCUGGGCACCCAUAAUUGGGAACUGUUUGUUUAGGACCUACUAUAGAGGCCACAGCUGGAAAUUCUCUCUUCAGUUUCAUAGCUCAAGGAAAAAGAAACCGAAAGACUUUUUCUCCAAGAGAGCAGUUGAUUACGAAAAUCCACACUGCUGAAGUAGCGACAUCUGCCAGCAUAAAGUGUUGCAUUAUCCAUAAUUACACACCUGACCCUGUGGAACCAGAAAAUUAAUAGCGCCAGCAAAGCUGAUUCAAAAUCACCAUUCUAAUGGGUAGCAAAACAAAUAAUAUCCAAUAUGGUAUGAGAGUUGUCUGAGCUGAUUGGAGCUCUUUGAUUAUACCAAGUCUGCUUCUGGACCUUAUUUUGGGGCGGGGGGGAGUGUCCCUAGACCAUCUAGUUUAGCAACUAAUCUAUCACCAGCAUGCUCUAGUUAGCACUGAUUUGUUGUUACAUGAAAAAUCCAGGAAGAACAGAGCCAGGCGUAGAUUGGUUUUCAUUGUAAGAGGAGAGGUGCAUUGGUGCCAAGGUAAUCUUGGCAUAAAAAUGGGAAUCACUGAAGACAAUCAUUAGCAUCCUGCAUGUCAGAUCUAAAGCAAUACUGAAUGCCUUCCACUGCCUCUUCAUACUGAAGGCUAUCAAUGCUUUAGGGUUUCCCUCCUGACCUUUGAUUCAUUUCUCUGCACAUGUACUAAUUUAGAGCUGCAGAUCUAUGCCACAUUGAAUAGGAUUCCCACA